GCAUUAACGUACAGAUACGAAAACUCUGUUGUAAUCGUGACAUUUACAAAUUUCGUGCUUUUUCAGUCCAUCUGUAAGAUGGUAUGUACAUCUUACAUUAACUUUUCUUGGAAUUUCGAGUUAAAUCUUGAUUGAUCCAAGAGUAAAAAAUGAAUCACUGGCUGCUGUCAGUUAUGCAAAAGACAUUGCUAAUUCGCACGAAAGAAAACUUUUUCGCUGCAGUAGUUGUACACCGACCAGAAAUUCCAAGACCAGGAAGCUGAGGGGACAUGUGAGCCAUGGGAAUGGCCGUGAUGGCAAACACAGGAAACAUGCUGGUGGUCGCGGUAAUGCAGGUGGCAUGCAUCACCACAGAAUAAACUUUGACAAAUAGUGAGUAUGGGGCCGUUUGUGCUGGGCGGGGGGCUCAUGGCACCUGUGUGAAAGUGGGCUAUAUGGGUGGAGAUGAUUAAGGCUGACACUGAGCAUGUGGGAUCAUCAGGUACCUCGCUUGUUUGAUAACAUGAGGGAUCGUACCAGGGUCUUUCACAAAACAAGGCUUAAGCUUUUGAAGGAAAGUAGUGCAUGAUAUCCUAUGUGCACAUUAUAUAUGCAAAAUGUUAUAAAAGAAACUUUGAGAAGUAACAGAUCAUUGCCAGAUACUGACUGUUCUAUUGUUUCAUGAUUCAUUGUACCUUGAUCCAUUGUGACUGUGUACCUUUAUUAAACUAACAGUUUGUUUUGAAUGUUAGUGUGGUUUUCCGAGUCAUUUUCAGGUUCUCCAGCUCAGGACUCAGGCAUAACGUUUUCUGCUGGUCUGCAACAUGACUGAGGUUAGAUUGUCAUCCUGAAAUUUGCCAUUGCCUUGGAGUCUCUAUGCAACUGUGGCUUUUGUGAGGGAACACUACAGUAAAGUGUCUUCAUUCAUUUAUCCAGUAGACAUCCAUUGUGCAAAGUGACAUUAAAUGUACAGUUAGAAACUAGAUUCUUGAGACGGUUCGUCUUUCUUUAGGUGUAAUUACGGAAAGGAUUGGUCAUCAUCCCUUUAGAGUUUCCAUGACUGCAUUAUGCCUUGUAGGAGACUUCUGUGGGGAUGUGUAGUGAUGUGGACCCUUGGCACUGCACGCCUCCUUUGUCAGCAUGUUUUUUGUUUGCUUUUAGUGUCCGACAUCAGCUGUGCUCAUUACACCCAGCCAUCCAGGUUACGUUGAAAUGGUUGGUAUGAGACAUUUUCCAAAAGAGCUCUAAAAGCUGAAAUCUCUAAUUUGCAGGAUAGUAAGGGUCUUAUAAUUGAAAAUGAAAUUGAUAUAGUAAAUGAGUUUAAUGAUUAUUUUAUACGGGUGUUCACAGUAGAUAUCUUACCAACAUUUAAUACGAAUACAGCAUGGUCUAUGUCUAAUAUAUGUAUAACUGAGGCUGAUGUGGUACAAAGCCUAGCUAAGCUCAAAAUAAAUAAAUCGCAGGGCUCUGAUGGUAUCUUACCUAUAGUUUUAAAAGAGAUGAGGGAUAUUGUAAUGGUGCGUUCGUUUUUCUCUUGGAACUCGGAAAUUCCGAGUUGAGUGACAUCACGUCCGACAAUCUCCCGUUCGAGCUACCACAUCUCGGAACAAACAUGGCUGCCUCCAUGAACACUCUGCUGUGUGUUGUUGCUUUAUAUUUUGCAGUUUUGGAGUAAGAUUACACCAAAAACAAUUUAAAAGGCCUAUAGGAUGUUGGGUUACAUCUCUAGGUGUGUGGAGUUUAAAUCAAGGGAGGUGAUGCUACAAUUGUAUAAUUCCUUGGUAAGACCCCACCUAGAAUAUUGUGUGCAGGUUUGGUCAUCAUACCUUAAGAAGCAACGUAGGGCGACGAGAAUGAUUCUUGGUCUUAGAGGAAUGUCUUAUGAGGAGAGGUUAGCUGAGCUGAAUCUGUUUAGCCUCGAGCAAAGGAGACUAAGGGGGGGACAUGAUCCAGAUAUAUAAGAUUCUAACAAGUUUGGAUGCUGUUCAGCCAAAUGGCUACUUUAAUAUUAGUUUAAAUAAUCGUGACCAUAGGUGGAAAUUAGCAGGAGAACAUUUUAAACUGAAUUUGAGAAAACACUUAGAGUAUAGAGUACUUCCUGCUAGUGUAGCACAAGCUAAAACCCUGGGAUCCUUUAAAUCAGAGCUAGAUAAAAUUUUAACAACUCUGAGCUAUUGCUUAAGUUCUCCCCAAAUGAGCUUGAUGGGCAGAAUGGCCUCCUCUCGUUUGUAAAUUUCUUAUGUUCUUAUUAGCACCCAAAGAGGAACUCGAUGUUCUGUCCAAUCAUCAACCUAGACAAGCUCUGGACAUUGUUAAGUGAGCAGACCAGAGUUAAUUAUGGCAAGAAACCUGACGGUCCUGCCCCCAUCAUCGCGGUCAUGCAAGCAUUAAGUGAAAAGUCAUGCUUUGUUGCAGCAGACUGGCAUAGGAUCUGUUCUAGGGCUCCUUCCAUGUAUCUGUGGGGAGUUUUAACUUAAGCGUUAAAUGCUAUCCACUGAUUUUUUUAUAUCACUGAACUUUUUUUUUGUUUAAAGCUGUUGAAAGGAGUCAUCUUCACUGUUAUAAAUCAGGAAUGUACACAGAGAGGGAAUAUGCUGAUUUGGCAUGUAUGUGCUUGAGUUUUAAUUCUGCAUAUUUUACCAUAAUGGACUAUGCGGAGUGCCUUUUGGCCAUUGCACUGUGUUCCUUAGGUAGGUCUGGAUCAUGGUGGAUUUUUCCAUCUAAUGUAAAUUCUCCUCAUAGUUUUCUGCAAAGGAUUCUGCACCUCAAAAACCCUGAAAUAUCAACAGUUGAAAAAAAGGACUAAAAUAGACAUUGAACUAUUUAUACCGUUAAAUGGAAACUGCGUGGAAGUGGAAAAAGUUCCUGCCCACAAGUCAUGUGGUUGAUUAUAGUGAGAUUAAUGUUUCGCUUGUUUUUUGUCUGAGUUUUCCAACUUCGGUUUAGGUUUGGGUUUUAAUAUCAGGCGCCAGUUUGCACAUUUCGAGCUGACUGGUGAUCAUUGUUGCUGAGGAUAUUAAAUUGUCAGACUGCAUUACUUGGUCAUUUUUGCAGCUAAAUUUCUUCCAUCCAAAAUGCCACCUAGACUAAUACAGUUAACAAAGCACUCUUUGUAUUUUUACUUUACAGCAAGAAUUCAUUUAUAUUUGUUGUUGCAGUUCCUGUUAAUAGAUAUAUCUUAGUGUUUUUGCCAACAUUUUUGAUUUCUUUCAAACAUCACGCUGAAAUUAAAGAUUAUGGUGGUUUGACUAAAAAUACUGGUCAGUUUCACCCUCAGUUUUUCACAGAAAAAGUGAAAUUUUGCAAUCAAAUGGCAGAAACCUGCCAUGGAAAUGAAAGUGAGGUGAAUCAUCAGGUCAGGGGAUACCCCAGUAGCCACAUUUCAAAAAGAAUGUCUUUAUUAUCAGAAUGAAACAUUGUGACUUAUUGAACAUAACCUGGGCCAAUUUUCAGUAAUUACCUGCCAGUACCUAAUGGUACCUUCAGUACCACAAACUCAACAUCCGUACGGAGAUUUUUGUUCGAAUGACCUUAGCAUUGGAUAUUAGGGCUUCAUUGAUGAACCUUAACACUCUGUGCUGUUGCUUGCUUGAUCAAUAGGGAGCAUUGUGUGCUUCCCUGAAAUUCUGUUUUUACAGGGUUACUUCAAAGUGUUGGGCAAAGGGAAACUCCCAAAGCAGCUCGUCAUCAUGAAGGCCAAGUUCUUUGGCAGGAAGGCUGAGGAGAAGAUUACGGAAGUGGGAGGAGCUUGUGUGCUCAUGACCUGGACAGUUUUUUAAAUAUAUAUUUUUUUAUUAAAUGGGAUAUAUGGAGUAUUUUUGUAUAGCUUUGUUUAGCUUUUAUGCUGUUUUGUAAGGCGUCCUGGUACUGCUUACUUGCUACACGCACCUGCUAAUCAGGCUUCUGUUUUACGUCAUGGCACUGGAUCCAUCCUCCUCAGCUGCAUUUAGUAGUGUGAUAUGUAUAAAUAUGCACAAAAUGUGUGUGUGGAGUGGGGAGGGUCCACCGUUAGCUGUGUGGGUUUGUGGAAACCCCCAGAUGGGUUUUCAGCACCACAUUUGGUUAUUCUGUAAAGGAUCUCUGAAGCAUUAUUCAAUUUCUGCUCGAUGACACCUAAAGUUGCAAAGAUACAGAUAGUUUAAAAAAAACUCCAGCAGUUUCAAAAGAGGUUCAUAUUAUUAGAUUGGGUAGUUCUG
Brienomyrus brachyistius is the source of this 4175-nucleotide long non-coding RNA. RefSeq lists it as uncharacterized. The transcript has 3 exons. The record is from RefSeq and is a predicted model, not a curated record. NCBI's taxonomy places the organism in Eukaryota, Metazoa, Chordata, Actinopteri, Osteoglossiformes, Mormyridae.